AUCAAUGGAUUGUAACAAGCUCAAAAAGCAGAAGAAAAUACUGCUGGCUGUGUGGCAUGAGUUCAAAUACUGGAACAACUAAAGAUGUAACUAUGGGGCUGGAGGAGCAUAAAACUCCACUUAAGCCAGCACUAAUGCUGAGGAAAGGCUUAUCGCACUGCUCACUAAUAUAACACAUCAAAGAGGGAAUAAUGCAAAAGAGCUUAGAAGUUGCACAUUGGCUUGUGGGGUGAGUGAUAACAGCUCUGGCCUGUCAGAAAGUGCAGUUUGCAUAACCAGCUAAAUAAAAAGCAAACACAGUGGUUCUGUAAGGGACAGUCAUCACCUGAAAACAAACAAAAUUGACUCAGAGUAUGGUUUUGUGUUGUGCUUAAUUUAGUUUAAUUGUUGGAUGCUUCCACUUGAGGCUGUUUCACCAGUUCUCUUGAAGAGAAUCUAGGGGUUGGUUUGUUGAACAGAAUUUAAGUUGGUUGUGCAGUUUUGUGAUGGAUUCCUUCCAUUUGCUGAGCCACUGAAAGGACAAUUAAUUCUGUUUUCUCUUCUAGUUUGUCCUCCCCAACAGUAGUCUCAAACUUGGCUUCUGCCAGAUAUAAGGGAAGGGUGAAAACAGAUCACGUCAUCAGCAGUAGCCUGCAGUCAGGAAAGACUGAACCCAGCACAAAAUUGCACUUCAGUGUUUAGGGACAUCUGGGAAGGACCCAAAAAAAAGAACGCCUUUAGUUUUCCUCUGUUUGCUCAGGUUCUUAAUUUAUUAUUUUUUUUCACUCUUUAAAGUACAUCAAGUGUGUCAGCUAACAGGAGCUUCUCUCCACAAUCCCAUUUGCUGUCAAAGGAGCAUCUCAGUUGUUCUGUCGAGGAAUCCCCUUACGGUUGUCAGUGCUUUCUUCUCUGGGAAAUAUUUUGCCUGAGGUUAAAUACAAAUAAAGAUCUCACAGUGAAAUGAAACUUCUCAGAUAGUCUUUGAGUGGGUAAAUGACAACCAUCACUUUUAGUGCCUUCCAUUGUGCAUUUAUUGACAUGUUUAUAAGUCAUUGGAGCAAUAACUG
Neopsephotus bourkii (Bourke's parrot) is the source of this 1046-nucleotide long non-coding RNA. RefSeq lists it as uncharacterized. The record is from RefSeq and is a predicted model, not a curated record. Lineage: Eukaryota; Metazoa; Chordata; Aves; Psittaciformes; Psittacidae. The transcript is spliced from 2 exons.